RNAcentral lists this ribosomal RNA (614 nucleotides) under uncultured fungus. RNAcentral describes it as "eukaryotic LSU rRNA". It matches the Rfam family "Eukaryotic large subunit ribosomal RNA", at positions 38 to 667 of the family's 3401-position model. The record is from RNAcentral. Lineage: Eukaryota; Fungi.
GCAUAUCAAUAAGCGGAGGAAAAGAAACCAACCGGGAUUGCCCUAGUAACGGCGAGCGAAGCGGCAACAGCUCAAAUUUGAAAUCUGGCUCUUUUAGAGUCCGAGUUGUAAUUUGCAGAGGGCGCUUUGGCUUUGGCAGCGGUCCAAGUUCCUUGGAACAGGACGUCACAGAGGGUGAGAAUCCCGUACGUGGUCGCAGGCUAUUGCCGUGUAAAGCCCCUUCGACGAGUCGAGUUGUUUGGGAAUGCAGCUCUAAAUGGGAGGUACAUUUCUUCUAAAGCUAAAUAUUGGCCAGAGACCGAUAGCGCACAAGUAGAGUGAUCGAAAGAUGAAAAGCACUUUGGAAAGAGAGUCAAACAGCACGUGAAAUUGUUGAAAGGGAAGCGCUUGCAGCCAGACUUGCUUGCAGUUGCUCAUCCGGGCUUUUGCCCGGUGCACUCUUCUGCAGGCAGGCCAGCAUCAGUUUGGGCGGUAGGAUAAAGGUCUCUGUCACGUACCUCUCUUCGGGGAGGCCUUAUAGGGGAGGCGACAUACUACCAGCCUGGACUGAGGUCCGCGCAUCUGCUAGGAUGCUGGCGUAAUGGCUGUAAGCGGCCCGUCUUGAAACACGGACC